This is a ribosomal RNA of Capsicum annuum, 156 nucleotides long. RefSeq annotates it as 5.8S ribosomal RNA. Lineage: Eukaryota; Viridiplantae; Streptophyta; Magnoliopsida; Solanales; Solanaceae. The transcript has a single exon. The record is from RefSeq and is a predicted model, not a curated record.
GACUCUCGAUAAUGGAUUUCUUGGCUCUCGCAUCAAUUUAGAACGUAGCAAAAUAUGAUACUUAGUGUGAAUUGCAAAAUCCCAUGAACCAUUGAGUCUUUGAAUGCGAGUUGUGUCCGAAGCCAUUAGGCCAAGGGCAAGUCUACCUAGGCAUCA